UUACACAUGCAAGUCGAAUGGCAGCACGGACUUCGGUCUGGUGGCGAGUGGCGAACGGGUGAGUAAUGUAUCGGAACGUGCCCAGUAGCGGGGGAUAACUACCCGAAAGCGUAGCUUAUACCGCAAACGCCCUACGGGGGAAAGCAGGGGAUCGUAAGACCUUGCACUAUUUGAGCGGCCGAUAUCGGAUUAGCUAGUUGGUGGGGUAACGGCUCACCAAGGCGACGAUCCGUAGCUGGUUUGAGAGGACGUCCAGCCCCACUGGGACUGAGACACGGCCCAUACUCCUACGGGAGGCAGCAGUGGGGAAUUUUGGACAAUGGGGGAAACCCUGAUCCAGCCAUCCCGCGCGUGCGAUGAAGGCCUUCGGGUUGUAAAGCACUUUUGGCAGGAAAGAAACGUCAUGGGUUAAUACCCCGUGAAACUGACGGUACCUGCAGAAUAAGCACCGGCUAACUACGUGCCAGCAGCCGCGGUAAUACGUAGGGUGCAAGCGUUAAUCGGAAUUACUGGGCGUAAAGCGUGCGCAGGCGGUUCGGAAAGAAAGAUGUGAAAUCCCAGAGCUUAACUUUGGAACUGCAUUUUUAACUACCGGCUAGAGUGUGUCAGAGGGAGGUGGAAUUCCGCGUGUAGCAGUGAAAUGCGUAGAUAUGCGGAGGAACACCGAUGGCGAAGGCGCCUCCUGGGAUAACACUGACGCUCAUGCACGAAAGCGUGGGGAGCAAACAGGAUUAGAUACCCUGGUAGUCCACGCCCUAAACGAUGUCAACUAGCUGUUGGGGCCUUCGGGCCUUGGUAGCGCAGCUAACGCGUGAAGUUGACCGCCUGGGGAGUACGGUCGCAAGAUUAAAACUCAAAGGAAUUGACGGGGACCCGCACAAGCGGUGGAUGAUGUGGAUUAAUUCGAUGCAACGCGAAAAACCUUACCUACCCUUGACAUGUCUGGAAUUCCGAAGAGAUUUGGAAGUGCUCGCAAGAGAACCGGAACACAGGUGCUGCAUGGCUGUCGUCAGCUCGUGUCGUGAGAUGUUGGGUUAAGUCCCGCAACGAGCGCAACCCUUGUCAUUAGUUGCUACGAAAGGGCACUCUAAUGAGACUGCCGGUGACAAACCGGAGGAAGGUGGGGAUGACGUCAAGUCCUCAUGGCCCUUAUGGGUAGGGCUUCACACGUCAUACAAUGGUCGGGACAGAGGGUCGCCAACCCGCGAGGGGGAGCCAAUCCCAGAAACCCGAUCGUAGUCCGGAUCGCAGUCUGCAACUCGACUGCGUGAAGUCGGAAUCGCUAGUAAUCGCGGAUCAGCAUGUCGCGGUGAAUACGUUCCCGGGUCUUGUACACACCGCCCGUCACACCAUGGGAGUGGGUUUUACCAGAAGUAGUUAGCCUAACCGCAAGGGGGGCGAUUACCACGGUAGGAUUCAUGACUGGGGUG
This 1430-nucleotide ribosomal RNA is filed under the name uncultured Achromobacter sp. RNAcentral's name for it is "bacterial SSU rRNA". It matches the Rfam family "Bacterial small subunit ribosomal RNA". Lineage: Bacteria; Pseudomonadati; Pseudomonadota; Betaproteobacteria; Burkholderiales; Alcaligenaceae. The record is from RNAcentral.